CACGUAGGGACCAAGCGUUGUCCGGAUUCAUUGGGCGUAAAGAGCUCGUAGGCGGCUCAGUAAGUCGGGUGUGAAACCUCCAGGCUCAACCUGGAGACGCCACCCGAUACUGCUGUGGCUAGAGUCCAGUAGGGGAGCGUGGAAUUCCUGGUGUAGCGGUGAAAUGCGCAGAUAUCAGGAGGAACACCAGCGGCGAAGGCGGCGCUCUGGGCUGGCACUGACGCUGAGGAGCGAAAGCGUGGGGAGCGAACAGG
This 254-nucleotide ribosomal RNA is filed under the name uncultured bacterium. RNAcentral describes it as "partial 16S ribosomal RNA". It matches the Rfam family "Bacterial small subunit ribosomal RNA", at positions 524 to 776 of the family's 1533-position model. RNAcentral also lists the same sequence under 1 other name. The record is from RNAcentral.